UAACACGUGAGUAACCUGCCCUUAACUCUGGGAUAAGCCUGGGAAACUGGGUCUAAUACCGGAUAUGACUCCUCAUCGCAUGGUGGGGGGUGGAAAGCUUUUUUGUGGUUUUGGAUGGACUCGCGGCCUAUCAGCUUGUUGGUGAGGUAAUGGCUCACCAAGGCGACGACGGGUAGCCGGCCUGAGAGGGUGACCGGCCACACUGGGACUGAGACACGGCCCAGACUCCUACGGGAGGCAGCAGUGGGGAAUAUUGCACAAUGGGCGAAAGCCUGAUGCAGCGACGCCGCGUGAGGGAUGACGGCCUUCGGGUUGUAAACCUCUUUCAGUAGGGAAGAAGCGAAAGUGACGGUACCUGCAGAAGAAGCGCCGGCUAACUACGUGCCAGCAGCCGCGGUAAUACGUAGGGCGCAAGCGUUAUCCGGAAUUAUUGGGCGUAAAGAGCUCGUAGGCGGUUUGUCGCGUCUGCCGUGAAAGUCCGGGGCUCAACUCCGGAUCUGCGGUGGGUACGGGCAGACUAGAGUGAUGUAGGGGAGACUGGAAUUCCUGGUGUAGCGGUGAAAUGCGCAAAUAUCAGGAGGAACACCGAUGGCGAAGGCAGGUCUCUGGGCAUUAACUGACGCUGAGGAGCGAAAGCAUGGGGAGCGAACAGGAUUAAAUACCCUGGUAGUCCAUGCCGUAAACGUUGGGCACUAGGUGUGGGGGACAUUCCACGUUUUCCGCGCCGUAACUAACGCAUUAAGUGCCCCGCCUGGGG
Molecule: ribosomal RNA, 757 nt
Filed under: Arthrobacter sp. 01xTSA28A_G11
Lineage: Bacteria; Bacillati; Actinomycetota; Actinomycetes; Micrococcales; Micrococcaceae
Description: bacterial SSU rRNA
Rfam family: Bacterial small subunit ribosomal RNA
Source: RNAcentral